This 253-nucleotide ribosomal RNA is filed under the name uncultured bacterium. RNAcentral's name for it is "partial 16S ribosomal RNA". It matches the Rfam family "Bacterial small subunit ribosomal RNA", at positions 524 to 776 of the family's 1533-position model. The record is from RNAcentral.
UACGUAGGGGGCUAGCGUUGUCCGGAAUCAUUGGGCGUAAAGCGCGCGUAGGCGGCCCGGUAAGUCCGCUGUGAAAGUCAAAGGCUCAACCUUUGAAUGUCAGCGGAUACUGCCAGGCUAGAGUCCGGAAGAGGCGAGUGGAAUUCCUGGUGUAGCGGUGAAAUGCGCAGAUAUCAGGAGGAACACCGGUGGCGAAGGCGGGUCUCUGGGCCGAUACUGACGCUGAGGAGCGAAAGCGUGGGGAGCGAACAGG